Molecule: ribosomal RNA, 546 nt
Filed under: Atopomacer podocarpi
Lineage: Eukaryota; Metazoa; Arthropoda; Insecta; Coleoptera; Nemonychidae
Description: partial 16S ribosomal RNA
Rfam family: Bacterial large subunit ribosomal RNA
Source: RNAcentral
CAUGGCCUUUUGAAGUUAAUUUAAGGUYUGACCUGCCCACUGAGAAGUUAAAUGGCCGCGGUAUUUUGACCGUGCAAAGGUAGCAUAAUCAUUAGUUUUUUAAUUGAAAGCUUGUAUGAAAGGUUGAAUGAAAAAAUAACUGUCUCUAUUUAAUUUUAUUAGAAUUUUAUUUUUAAGUUAAAAAGCUUAAAUUUUUUUAAAAGACGAGAAGACCCUAUAGAGUUUGAUAAAAUCUUAAAAUUAUUAUUUUUAGAAUUUAUAGUUUGAUUUAAAGUGUUUUAUUUGAUUGGGGUGAUUGAAAAAUUAAAUAAACUUUUUUUUUAUUACUACAUUGAUUUAUGAGUUAUUGAUCCAAUAUUUUUGAUUAUAAGAUAAAAUUACCUUAGGGAUAACAGCGUAAUUUUCUUAAAGAGUUCUAAUCGAAAAGAAAGUUUGCGACCUCGAUGUUGGAUUAAAAUUAAUUUUUGGUGUAGAASCUAAAAAUAUUAGGUCUGUUCGACCUUUAAAAUUUUACAUGAUCUGAGUUUAAACCGGUGUGASCCAGGU